RNAcentral lists this long non-coding RNA (1081 nucleotides) under Sus scrofa (pig). Its description in RNAcentral is "lncRNA (ENSSSCG00060053043.1)". Lineage: Eukaryota; Metazoa; Chordata; Mammalia; Artiodactyla; Suidae. The record is from RNAcentral.
GUCCUUCCUGGUCUUUUGUUAACUGAUCACCUGUCUGGGCAGCAAGAAUUGACAGCUUCAACUGGAAAACUCAUUUAGGUGGAGUUCUGAGCAAGUCUGCUAAUGAUGAACUUCCUUCUUCAGUUCUUGACAGAAACCGUCUCCAGUGUUUCCAUUGCCUCAACGCAGCUCGGAGGACUUCUCUGCCCACUGUGGUCUGGCUGCCCCCCACCCCCCCGCUCCCGGCACCCACUCCUCCUGGAAGGGCUGCUCCUGCCAAGGUCGUCAACAACCUCCUUGCUCCAGACCAUGCCCAGCGCCUCCUUGGUCCGCACUGUCCUUGGCAUCCUGUCCCCCGGGGGACCAGCUCCCAGGCUCGGCUCCUGCCUCUGCACCGCCUCCCUCUCCAUCUCUGUUGCAGGCUCUCCUUCCCACCCCCGGCCUUGAACACAGCCCUCCUCUGCUUUUUCCCCAUCACAACGGGGCUAUUUCUCCUGUGUGUCGCAGGCACCGAAUUUCAUUAUGUCACAAGCGGAGCGAUGCCUCUCAUACCCCCACCCAUACCUGCCCAGACCUGAGAGCUGCUGUCCUAUGCUCCCCGCCCAGGAAAGCCACCAUCGUCCACAAGGGGGCUUGUCCCCUCCCCUCCCCCACCAUCCCCCACAAAUCGUUGCCCAGAGCUGCCCUUGACCUUUCAGAUCCCCUCACCUCUGCCUCCUUCCAUCCACCCCGGAUGCCACGAUUCCUGCCUGGAUUCCUGGAAGUGCCCCCUCACUAGUCUCCCUUCUCUCCAACCACUUCUCCAAACCACAGACCGAAUGCUCUUUCUAAAAUGAAAAUCUUGGAGUUCCCAUGGUGGCUCAGCAGGUGAAGAACCCAACAUAGUGUCCAUGAGGAUGCGGGUUCGAUUCCUGGCCUCGCUCAGUGGGUUAAGGAGUAGGCAUUGCUGCAAGCUGCAGUGUAGGUGGCAGAUGCUGCUGAGAUGCCAUUGCUGUGGCUGUGGCUAGGCUGGCAGCUGCAGCUCCCACUGACCCCUAGCCUAGGAACUUCCAUAUGCCGCAGGUUCAGCCCUUGAAAGAAAAAAUAAAAUAAUAAAAUAAAA